ACAUUUACCUGGCAGGGGAUAUACCAUGAUCAAAAAGGUGGUUUUCCCAGAGCAAGGCUUAUCCAUUGCACUGCGGAUGUUCUGACCCCUGAGAUUUCCCCAAAUGUAAGAGCCCAGGCCCAGAUGGAUUCUCUGCAGAAUUCUAC
Cavia porcellus (domestic guinea pig) is the source of this 146-nucleotide small nuclear RNA. Its record names the gene U1. It matches the Rfam family "U1 spliceosomal RNA". From Rfam's summary of the family: U1 is a small nuclear RNA (snRNA) component of the spliceosome (involved in pre-mRNA splicing). Its 5' end forms complementary base pairs with the 5' splice junction, thus defining the 5' donor site of an intron. Lineage: Eukaryota; Metazoa; Chordata; Mammalia; Rodentia; Caviidae. The record is from Ensembl.